AUGUGAAUGAGCUUGCCGAGCGCUACAUCAACGCAACUGAGCCAAAGCCUAGUGACAGCAGCAUUACUGCGUAUAAAAGCCGUAUGGAAAGUGCGAUUAAAAAAUUUGUGGCUUACCAAGCUGGAGAGACAAUCCCUUAUAUCCCUGUAGAGCGCCAAGAGGAGGAAGAAGAAUUGGUUGAGUUAAAACAGCCAGUAGAGGUAAAGAGUGCUACGCCAUCCUCUUACUCACUACCCGUAGUCAUUCGCCCAGAAUUAGGAGUCACAGUAA
This 270-nucleotide unclassified non-coding RNA is filed under the name uncultured fungus. Its description in RNAcentral is "partial internal transcribed spacer 1". The record is from RNAcentral. Lineage: Eukaryota; Fungi.